RNAcentral lists this transfer RNA (76 nucleotides) under bacterium. RNAcentral describes it as "tRNA-Val". It matches the Rfam family "tRNA". From Rfam's summary of the family: Transfer RNA (tRNA) molecules are approximately 80 nucleotides in length. Their secondary structure includes four short double-helical elements and three loops (D, anti-codon, and T loops). Further hydrogen bonds mediate the characteristic L-shaped molecular structure. tRNAs have two regions of fundamental functional importance: the anti-codon, which is responsible for specific mRNA codon recognition, and the 3' end, to which the tRNAs corresponding amino acid is attached (by aminoacyl-tRNA synthetases). tRNAs cope with the degeneracy of the genetic code in two manners: having more than one tRNA (with a specific anti-codon) for a particular amino acid; and 'wobble' base-pairing, i.e. permitting non-standard base-pairing at the 3rd anti-codon position. The record is from RNAcentral.
GGGCGUUUGGCGCAGUUGGUAGCGCACUUGAACGACAUUCAAGGGGUCACAAGUUCGAGCCUUGUAUCGCCCACCA